This 401-nucleotide ribosomal RNA is filed under the name uncultured bacterium. RNAcentral describes it as "bacterial SSU rRNA". It matches the Rfam family "Bacterial small subunit ribosomal RNA", at positions 358 to 775 of the family's 1533-position model. The record is from RNAcentral.
GGAAUAUUGCGCAAUGGACGGAAGUCUGACGCAGCGACGCCGCGUGGAUGAUGAAGGCCUUCGGGUUGUAAAAUCCUUUUCAGGGGGAAGAGUGAGGACGGUACCCCUGGAAUAAGCGUCGGCUAACUACGUGCCAGCAGCCGCGGUAAGACGUAGGACGCGAGCGUUAUCCGGAUUUACUGGGCGUAAAGCGUCUGUAGGCGGAAGUGUAAGUUGGACGUGAAAGCUCCGGGCUCAACUCGGAGAGGCCGUUCAAUACUGCACAACUAGAGGCCAUCAGAGGGGCGUGGAAUUUCCGGUGUAGCGGUAAAAUGCGCAGAUAUCGGAAGGAACACCAGUGGCGAAGGCGGCGCCCUGGGGUGGGCCUGACGCUAAGAGACGAAAGCUAGGGGAGCGAACAG